This is a long non-coding RNA of Fukomys damarensis (Damara mole-rat), 431 nucleotides long. RefSeq lists it as uncharacterized. The transcript is spliced from 3 exons. The record is from RefSeq and is a predicted model, not a curated record. NCBI's taxonomy places the organism in Eukaryota, Metazoa, Chordata, Mammalia, Rodentia, Bathyergidae.
CAAAGUUACUCACGUCAAAGGCGGAAAGGAAGUAUUAACAGCUUGAGAGGCCUAAAUGGACCCAGAGCCAUGAACUCUUCCCACUCUGCCAUGUGCCACCCUGCCUUGGAGCCUGCUGAUUAUGGACUCAAACCUCCGCAUACUCUUUGUACAGCACUGUACUUGGUCCUGCCAUUCCCAUCCCGUGACUUCCUGUGCAGCCAGUCGUCACUGUACCAGGGAAGCUGUCUCACGGCUCUCCCAGACAGUCUUCGUCCUCCUCCAGCUCCCAAGCCUCUGCCUACGUUCUAGCCUGUGUCAUCCUCUGAAGACUUUCGCCACCUCUUCAACAUUCUGGCUCCUUGUGCUGUGGCUCCUGCCACCAUCGCCAAACGCCGUUCAAGUGACCCAUCCUACAAAAACAAACCGUUAUCUCCUCUGAAGAUCUUUCC